RNAcentral lists this ribosomal RNA (598 nucleotides) under Aspergillus oryzae. Its description in RNAcentral is "eukaryotic LSU rRNA". The stretch from base 216 to 369 matches the Rfam family "5.8S ribosomal RNA". RNAcentral also lists the same sequence under 1 other name. Lineage: Eukaryota; Fungi; Ascomycota; Eurotiomycetes; Eurotiales; Aspergillaceae. The record is from RNAcentral.
CUUCCGUAGGGUGAACCUGCGGAAGGAUCAUUACCGAGUGUAGGGUUCCUAGCGAGCCCAACCUCCCACCCGUGUUUACUGUACCUUAGUUGCUUCGGCGGGCCCGCCAUUCAUGGCCGCCGGGGGCUCUCAGCCCCGGGCCCGCGCCCGCCGGAGACACCACGAACUCUGUCUGAUCUAGUGAAGUCUGAGUUGAUUGUAUCGCAAUCAGUUAAAACUUUCAACAAUGGAUCUCUUGGUUCCGGCAUCGAUGAAGAACGCAGCGAAAUGCGAUAACUAGUGUGAAUUGCAGAAUUCCGUGAAUCAUCGAGUCUUUGAACGCACAUUGCGCCCCCUGGUAUUCCGGGGGGCAUGCCUGUCCGAGCGUCAUUGCUGCCCAUCAAGCACGGCUUGUGUGUUGGGUCGUCGUCCCCUCUCCGGGGGGGACGGGCCCCAAAGGCAGCGGCGGCACCGCGUCCGAUCCUCGAGCGUAUGGGGCUUUGUCACCCGCUCUGUAGGCCCGGCCGGCGCUUGCCGAACGCAAAUCAAUCUUUUCCAGGUUGACCUCGGAUCAGGUAGGGAUACCCGCUGAACUUAAGCAUAUCAAUAAGCGGAGGAA